AACGACCAUACCACGCUGAAUACACCGGUUCUCGUCCGAUCACCGAAGUUAAGCAACGUUGGGCCCGGUUAGUACUUAGAUGGGGGACCGCUUA
This 94-nucleotide ribosomal RNA is filed under the name Ronderosia bergii. The record is from RNAcentral. Lineage: Eukaryota; Metazoa; Arthropoda; Insecta; Orthoptera; Acrididae.